Salvelinus fontinalis (brook trout) is the source of this 3029-nucleotide long non-coding RNA. RefSeq lists it as uncharacterized. The transcript is spliced from 2 exons. Lineage: Eukaryota; Metazoa; Chordata; Actinopteri; Salmoniformes; Salmonidae. The record is from RefSeq and is a predicted model, not a curated record.
ACACUCCUCAUCCUCCAAAUCCAAUAUAGGUGAGUCAGGACAGGCUAAUGUCCUCCAUGUCCUGAUCCUCAGUGCCCCCUGUACAUUCUGGUUUUCAUGGAAGUCCAGUUUUUGAGCAACUGUCACUGCGUUUGAUUUAAUGUGAUUGACGGCUUUUCAUCGCUUUUUAGAAUCUAUCUUGUGUUGAGUAUUAGCCUCCACAGCCCUGAACACAGUGUAUUUGGAACACUAUUGCCAUGUUAGCUCUCAAACCAACAGACAUGUUGGAGACACUAGUAGCCUAGUUGUUGUUGGUAGUAGAUUGUCAGGUAUUAUAGCUCCAUAUUCAAAUGCCAGCUCAGUCAUUUGAAUGUCCCCUGGUUGUUCCUCUUGCGUUGUGACCAACCCAGAGCGUUCAUAGAGUUCAUAGAUUGCACAGUCAGAUUAAAGUUUCCAGGAGAACUGACCGUUGUGCAUGGCUUUGUUAAUGGAAAUUACUAGAGCAAGCUCGAGAAGUCAAAAAUGCACUAGUUUAGUGUUAUCUUGAUUUACAGUGUUGUGUUGACCUUUACCUUUCUGAACCCUCAGAGGAUUUUGAGUCCAAGUUUGACUUCCACCCAGUGGAGGACUUCCCACCCCCUGAGGAAUAUAGGAAUUUCACCAAGAUCUACCCCAGCAAAAGCAAUAAGCCUGGACCAGGCAUGAUCCGAGGAGUACCUCCAGCGCCACCGGUGGCAAGGUGAACUAUGGAAUUCAGGAACAAAAUGACUUUAAUUAAUAACUCAGUCUAAUCAGAGGACGUCCAGGGGAGUGGCAUGACACUCGAAACACAUACAGGUCUAAACAUAGACACUUUAUAAGACCAGCCGGAAACAAGUCCUCAACCCCAAACAUUAUAGAAAAUUCAAUAGUCUUGUUCGACGCUACGUUUUUACAAAACCCUACACUACCAGUCGCUCUCUUUUGCACAAACACUUCAGACACUUCUGUUUCAGCAUGAUAGAACAAAACCACUCUGAACUGAGGUGCUGAAGAACAGACCUGUUUGACUGUUGUGGCCACAAGCCAAUCUUUCUGCAAGAUGGGGGGGGGGGGGCGUUGCAUUGAUUAUACUUUAUAGCAGCAGGACCAACUAAGAAUUCUGCAUUUCAUCUUUUGAAAUGUGUGCAUAAUCCACGAUAAUAAUGAUGUUGAUGAUUUCCUGCGAUUUAUGAAUGAUGUUUUUAAAAUGUUCUAUGUUUAACUGCAGUAACUGUGCCGUCAGUGGGGAAAUAUAGGACACACACCAACGUUGCCAACAAUGCGUUGUAUCAAUAGUACGUGGUUGUUUUUUUUUAAAAUGCCGUGCUCCCAGUGCCCUGAGGAGAAGGUGUGUGUGGAAUAGAAUUCUCUCCCUUGAUGUGCCAAUAGUUGGGUGAAGUAGAAUGAGGGGCCUCUCACACUUAGAAAAGCUGUCGUUUACGUCACACAGAUAUGGCUUCGUUUUUUGGUAUCUCGUUUUUCAUUACUUUGAGUAAUGAAACGGGGACAGGAGAAAUGACUUAAAUGCUUGUCAUGCUAUGAGAGAUUGAGUCUUGCUGACAGUGAGUAACAGUCUUUACAUUGUGUGAGGGGCAUUCCCAAUUAGAUAUGUUUAAUUCUUCCUCAUGGCAUUGCUCUGUGGCAGCAUAACCGCUUAACCGUGGCACCUGUGAAUGCCAUGUUUUUACACUAGAGAACAGAAAGUGCUGCUCAGAUCGGUUGCAUUCUAGGUUUAUCUGAAACAAAAACACUACGAAAUGCUUCAGGGAUCUGCUGCCCCUCUUUAAUUAGCGUUAGCUGCCAAAGCUCCUUUACUUUAUUGAUCAAGGAAGGCGUUUGAGAGUACUGUAUGAAAUUCUACUUUCACUUUGUUCAAUGCUGUUCCUGUUUCUUGCCACAAGGGGGUGAUCAUGGUUAAAUUAUUACCCUCGUUCCUUUCUUUGGACCAAGGGUAGCUUUGCAGGGCUGUCAGUCAUUCAACCCUGUCUUUCAGGAGUUCCUUCAAGGAACAUUUUUUUUUUAAUACAUUCUUUUUAAAACUAAAAUAUUUGAUUUUACUGCUGGUGGCCCUUUUGGAAUAGACCUUAUCAUGGCCACAGGGAAACCAUAGUACUUGAGUUUUUAAUGCAUUCCUAUGCAAGGAACGGUUUUGUAUGUAUUCUCACUUCUCGUUGGUAGCAACUAACCAAAAAGGAAACGCCUAAGUGCCAGAAGAAUGUGUAGGGCGAAGUUGCUCCUAGAAGCUGAUUUGGGGUCAGUUUUCCAUAUUCCCUACUAAUGGUUAAGGUUAGGAUUGGGGAAGGGAAUCUUAUCCUAGAUCUGUACCUAGGUGAAACAUCACCUGGAGCACCAGGGAACUAUUUAGGCAGAGUAGGCCCCAGAAAUGUCAUCAUGGUGGAUUAUAUAAUUUUUAUGACUUAUGAGCUCCUAAAUGUGUGAUACCUAUACUGUCAUUGCAUUGUGAUUUCUGUUACGAUUCCACUACAGUGAAAGAAAGCUACAUGAGAAUCGAUUCCUUUUCUCUUCUCCAUUCCUGUUAUGUAGUCCUCAGGCUGGUUGUUGCCUUACAUAUCUAUUGUCAUACUUAUUGGUACCAGUGCAUUUGUAAAAAAAAAUAUAUAUAUAUAUAAUAAUUUUUAAUUAUACUCACUUUUUGUAUUAAAUAUGCAAUAAAUAAUGUCUAUUUACAUAAAGAAUGAGGAAUUUGGAAAUUGUAGUUAUUGAUAUUUUAAUGUUUGUAAAAAGCUUGUUAUAUAGGGAGGAAUUUGAUGAAAAAGUUGAUCAACAGGCCAGUUGUGAGCUUUGUCCGACAGCCAGAGAGACGGGUCUCUUUGCAGCACUUCUCUGUAUGCCUGACUGUGUGUGUAACUUAUGUAAUUGAUGGAUAUGUUCAGUCUCACACAGGUGACUCAUUGACUGUGAUUCUCAUGUUCUCACCCUGUUCAUUCCUACCAUGGUCAUUUCACUUGUUAAUCAACCAUGUUUUAUCAUUUGAAAUAAAUAUGUGUUUUUUCGGGGGAAAAGGGGUA